UGAAACUAUAUACAAGCGAGCGGCGGACGGGUGAGUAACACGUGGGUAACCUGCCCAAGAGACUGGGAUAACACCUGGAAACAGAUGCUAAUACCGGAUAACAACACUAGACGCAUGUCUAGAGUUUGAAAGAUGGUUCUGCUAUCACUCUUGGAUGGACCUGCGGUGCAUUAGCUAGUUGGUAAGGUAACGGCUUACCAAGGCAAUGAUGCAUAGCCGAGUUGAGAGACUGAUCGGCCACAUUGGGACUGAGACACGGCCCAAACUCCUACGGGAGGCAGCAGUAGGGAAUCUUCCACAAUGGACGAAAGUCUGAUGGAGCAACGCCGCGUGAGUGAAGAAGGGUUUCGGCUCGUAAAGCUCUGUUGGUAGUGAAGAAAGAUAGAGGUAGUAACUGGCCUUUAUUUGACGGUAAUUACUUAGAAAGUCACGGCUAACUACGUGCCAGCAGCCGCGGUAAUACGUAGGUGGCAAGCGUUGUCCGGAUUUAUUGGGCGUAAAGCGAGUGCAGGCGGUUCAAUAAGUCUGAUGUGAAAGCCUUCGGCUCAACCGGAGAAUUGCAUCAGAAACUGUUGAACUUGAGUGCAGAAGAGGAGAGUGGAACUCCAUGUGUAGCGGUGGAAUGCGUAGAUAUAUGGAAGAACACCAGUGGCGAAGGCGGCUCUCUGGUCUGCAACUGACGCUGAGGCUCGAAAGCAUGGGUAGCGAACAGGAUUAGAUACCCUGGUA
This 729-nucleotide ribosomal RNA is filed under the name uncultured bacterium. Its description in RNAcentral is "bacterial SSU rRNA". It matches the Rfam family "Bacterial small subunit ribosomal RNA", at positions 75 to 792 of the family's 1533-position model. The record is from RNAcentral.